This 254-nucleotide ribosomal RNA is filed under the name uncultured bacterium. RNAcentral's name for it is "partial 16S ribosomal RNA". It matches the Rfam family "Bacterial small subunit ribosomal RNA", at positions 524 to 776 of the family's 1533-position model. The record is from RNAcentral.
GACAGAGGCCUCAAGCGUUAGGCGGAAUCACUGGGCUUAAAGCGUGUGUAGGCGGAUCGUUAAGUGUCUUGUGAAAUCCCACGGCUCACCCGUAGGAACUGCUGGGCAUACUGGCGAUCUUGGGCCAACUAGGGGCAACUGGAACAAGCGGUGGAGCGGUGAAAUGCGUAGAUAUCGGAAGGAACGCCGGUGGCGAAAGCGGCGCACUGGAUCUCUUCUGACGCUGAGGCGCGAAAGCCAGGGGAGCAAACGGG